This 1442-nucleotide ribosomal RNA is filed under the name uncultured organism. RNAcentral's name for it is "partial small subunit ribosomal RNA". It matches the Rfam family "Bacterial small subunit ribosomal RNA". The record is from RNAcentral.
CUCUGGCGGCGUGCUUAACACAUGCAAGUCGAACGGAAAGGCCCUGCUUUUGUGGGGUGCUCGAGUGGCGAACGGGUGAGUAACACGUGAGUAACCUGCCCUUGACUUUGGGAUAACUUCAGGAAACUGGGGCUAAUACCGGAUAGGAGCUCCUGCUGCAUGGUGGGGGUUGGAAAGUUUCGGCGGUUGGGGAUGGACUCGCGGCUUAUCAGCUUGUUGGUGGGGUAGUGGCUUACCAAGGCUUUGACGGGUAGCCGGCCUGAGAGGGUGACCGGCCACAUUGGGACUGAGAUACGGCCCAGACUCCUACGGGAGGCAGCAGUGGGGAAUAUUGCACAAUGGGCGGAAGCCUGAUGCAGCAACGCCGCGUGCGGGAUGACGGCCUUCGGGUUGUAAACCGCUUUCGCCUGUGACGAAGCGUGAGUGACGGUAAUGGGUAAAGAAGCACCGGCUAACUACGUGCCAGCAGCCGCGGUGAUACGUAGGGUGCGAGCGUUGUCCGGAUUUAUUGGGCGUAAAGGGCUCGUAGGUGGUUGAUCGCGUCGGAAGUGUAAUCUUGGGGCUUAACCCUGAGCGUGCUUUCGAUACGGGUUGACUUGAGGAAGGUAGGGGAGAAUGGAAUUCCUGGUGGAGCGGUGGAAUGCGCAGAUAUCAGGAGGAACACCAGUGGCGAAGGCGGUUCUCUGGGCCUUUCCUGACGCUGAGGAGCGAAAGCGUGGGGAGCGAACAGGCUUAGAUACCCUGGUAGUCCACGCUGUAAACGGUGGGUACUAGGUGUGGGGUCCAUUCCACGGGUUCCGUGCCGUAGCUAACGCUUUAAGUACCCCGCCUGGGGAGUACGGCCGCAAGGCUAAAACUCAAAGGAAUUGACGGGGCCCCGCACAAGCGGCGGAGCAUGCGGAUUAAUUCGAUGCAACGCGUAGAACCUUACCUGGGUUUGACAUGGAUCGGGAGUGCUCAGAGAUGGGUGUGCCUCUUUUGGGGUCGGUUCACAGGUGGUGCAUGGCUGUCGUCAGCUCGUGUCGUGAGAUGUUGGGUUAAGUCCCGCAACGAGCGCAACCCUUGUUCACUGUUGCCAGCACGUUAUGGUGGGGACUCAGUGGAGACCGCCGGGGUCAACUCGGAGGAAGGUGGGGAUGACGUCAAGUCAUCAUGCCCCUUAUGUCCAGGGCUUCACGCAUGCUACAAUGGCUGGUACAGAGAGUGGCGAGCCUGUGAGGGUGAGCGAAUCUCGGAAAGCCGGUCUCAGUUCGGAUUGGGGUCUGCAACUCGACCUCAUGAAGUCGGAGUCGCUAGUAAUCGCAGAUCAGCAACGCUGCGGUGAAUACGUUCCCGGGGCUUGUACACACCGCCCGUCAAGUCAUGAAAGUUGGUAACACCCGAAGCCGGUGGCCUAACCGUUGUGGGGGAGCCGUCGAAGGUGGGACUGGUGAUUAGGACUA